RNAcentral lists this ribosomal RNA (485 nucleotides) under uncultured bacterium. Its description in RNAcentral is "partial 16S ribosomal RNA". It matches the Rfam family "Bacterial small subunit ribosomal RNA", at positions 899 to 1397 of the family's 1533-position model. The record is from RNAcentral.
ACUCAAAGGAAUUGACGGGGGCCCGCACAAGCGGCGGAGCGUGCGGUUUAAUUCGACGCAACGCGCAGAACCUUACCAAGGCUUGACAUGCGCCUGCAGGACGGCGAAAGCCGUUUGCCUUCGAGGGUGGCGCACAGGUGCUGCAUGGCUGUCGUCAGCUCGUGUCGUGAGAUGUUGGGUUAAGUCCCGCAACGAGCGCAACCCCCGUGGCCAGUUACGUGGGUGUCUGGCCAGACUGCCGGUAGCAAGCCGGAGGAAGGCGGGGAUGACGUCAAGUCAGCAUGGCCCUUACGUCUUGGGCUACACGCACGCUACAAUGGACGGGACAGAGGGUAGCCAAGCCGCAAGGUGGAGCGAAUCCCAGAAACCCGUUCUCAGUUCGGAUUGUGGGCUGCAACUCGCCCGCAUGAAGGUGGAGUCGCUAGUAACCGCAGGUCAGCAAUACUGCGGUGAAUACGUUCCCGGGCCUUGCACACACCGCCCGU